GACGAACGCUGGCGGCGUGCUUAACACAUGCCAGUCGAACGGAAAGGCCUGCUUUCCCUUGUGGAUUGCGGGUACUCGAGUGGCGAACGGGUGAGUAACACGUGAGUGAUCUGCCCCCAACUUGGGUAUAAGCCUGGGAAACUGGGUCUAAUUCCCGAUAGGACUGCAGGGUGGUGCCUGUGGUGGAAAACGAUUUUCUAGUGGUUGGGGAUGAGCUCGCGGCCUAUCAGCUUGUUGGUGGGGUAAUGGCCUACCAAGGCGGCGACGGGUAGCCGGCCUGAGAGGGUGGACGGCCACAUUGGGACUGAGUUACGGCCCAGACUCCUACGGGAGGCAGCAGUGGGGAAUAUUGCACAAUGGGCGGAAGCCUGAUGCAGCGACGCCGCGUGGGGGAUGACGGCCUUCGGGUUGUAAACUCCUUUCGACCGCGAGGAAGCCACCUGGUUGGAAGGGUGGUGACGGUAGUGGUAGAAGAAGCACCGGCUAACUACGUG
Molecule: ribosomal RNA, 494 nt
Filed under: uncultured bacterium
Lineage: Bacteria
Description: partial 16S ribosomal RNA
Rfam family: Bacterial small subunit ribosomal RNA
Source: RNAcentral